Molecule: ribosomal RNA, 253 nt
Filed under: uncultured bacterium
Lineage: Bacteria
Description: partial 16S ribosomal RNA
Rfam family: Bacterial small subunit ribosomal RNA
Source: RNAcentral
UACGUAGGUGGCGAGCGUUGUCCGGAAUUACUGGGCGUAAAGCGUGCGCAGGCGGUUUUGUAAGCCGGAUGUGAAAUCCCCGGGCUUAACCUGGGAAUGGCAUUCGGGACUGCAAGGCUGGAGUGCGGCAGAGGAGACUGGAAUUCCUGGUGUAGCAGUGAAAUGCGUAGAUAUCAGGAGGAACACCGAUGGCGAAGGCAGGUCUCUGGGCUGACACUGACGCUCAUGCACGAAAGCGUGGGGAGCAAACAGG